RNAcentral lists this ribosomal RNA (133 nucleotides) under uncultured bacterium. Its description in RNAcentral is "partial 16S ribosomal RNA". It matches the Rfam family "Bacterial small subunit ribosomal RNA", at positions 356 to 486 of the family's 1533-position model. The record is from RNAcentral.
GAGGAAUAUUGGACAAUGGGCGAGAGCCUGAUCCAGCCAUGCCGCGUGCAGGAAGACUGCCCUAUGGGUUGUAAACUGCUUUUAUACAGGAAGAAACACUCCCUCGUGAGGGAGCUUGACGGUACUGUAAGAA